Molecule: ribosomal RNA, 864 nt
Filed under: uncultured bacterium
Lineage: Bacteria
Description: bacterial SSU rRNA
Rfam family: Bacterial small subunit ribosomal RNA
Source: RNAcentral
CAGUCGAGGGGCAGCAUGGUCUUAGCUUGCUAAGGCCGAUGGCGACCGGUGCACGGGUGAGUAACGCGUAUCCAACCUGCCUUACACUCUUGGUCAGCCUUCUGAAAGGGAGAUUAAUACAAGAUGUUAUCAUGAGUAAGCAUUUUCGCAUGAUUAAAGGUUUACCGGUGUAAGAUGGGGAUGCGUUCCAUUAGAUAGUAGGCGGGGUAACGGCCCACCUAGUCUUCGAUGGAUAGGGGUUCUGAGAGGAAGGUCCCCCACAUUGGAACUGAGACACGGUCCAAACUCCUACGGGAGGCAGCAGUGAGGAAUAUUGGUCAAUGGACGAGAGUCUGAACCAGCCAAGUAGCGUGAAGGAUGAAGGUUCUAUGGAUUGUAAACUUCUUUUAUACGGGAAUAAACGGAUCCACGUGUGGAUUUUUGCAUGUACCGUAUGAAUAAGGAUCGGCUAACUCCGUGCCAGCAGCCGCGGUAAUACGGAGGAUCCGAGCGUUAUACGGAUUUAUUGGGUUUAAAGGGAGCGUAGAUGGGUUGUUAAGUCAGUUGUGAAAGUUUGCGGCUCAACCGUAAAAUUGCAAUUGAUACUGGCAGUCUUGAGUACAGUUGAGGUAGGCGGAAUUCGUGGUGUAGCGGUGAAAUGCUUAGAUAUCACGAAGAACUCCGAUUGCGAAGGCAGCUUACUAACCUGUAACUGACAUUGAUGCUCGAAAGUGUGGGUAUCAAACAGGAUUAGAUACCCUGGUAGUCCACACGGUAAACGAUGAAUACUCGCUGUAGGCGAUAUACAGUCUGCGGCCAAGCGAAAGCAUUAAGUAUUCCACCUGGGGAGUACGCCGGCAACGGUGAAACUCAAAGGAAUUGACG